GACGAACGCUGGCGGCGUGCUUAACACAUGCAAGUCGAACGGAAAGGCCCUGCUUGCCGGGUACUCGAGUGGCGAACGGGUGAGUAACACGUGGGUGAUCUGCCCUGCACUUCGGGAUAAGCCUGGGAAACUGGGUCUAAUACCGGAUAGGAGCCAUUUUUAGUGUGAUGGUUGGAAAGUUUUUUCGGUGUAGGAUGAGCUCGCGGCCUAUCAGCUUGUUGGUGGGGUAAUGGCCUACCAAGGCGGCGACGGGUAGCCGGCCUGAGGGGGUGGACGGCCACAUUGGGACUGAGAUACGGCCCAGACUCCUACGGGAGGCAGCAGUGGGGAAUAUUGCACAAUGGGCGCAAGCCUGAUGCAGCGACGCCGCGUGGGGGAUGACGGCCUUCGGGUUGUAAACUCCUUUCGCUAGGGACGAAGCUUUUUGUGACGGUACCUAGAUAAGAAGCACCGGCUAACUACGUG
Molecule: ribosomal RNA, 465 nt
Filed under: uncultured bacterium
Lineage: Bacteria
Description: partial 16S ribosomal RNA
Rfam family: Bacterial small subunit ribosomal RNA
Source: RNAcentral